Non-coding RNA from Ciona intestinalis (vase tunicate), 939 nucleotides. Lineage: Eukaryota; Metazoa; Chordata; Ascidiacea; Phlebobranchia; Cionidae. The record is from RefSeq and is a predicted model, not a curated record.
CGAAUUUUAUAUUAUUUUCUAUUUUUAUUACAAUUAAACUGUAUAUAUCUGUAGACUACCAGUACCAGUAUUUAAAUUGCGUUAUAUUUUAGAUUUUGCUUGGCAAUUAACAAAUGUUUAUUACCAUGCCUGAGAGAAGAAAUGUUGGAUAUUGCCAAAAAAAUAGAUAAAUAUCAUUCUUUUCCUCAGGUAGCCUAUUUAAAACGUGUUAAAUUAGAUAGUCUGUGUAUAUAAUUUUAGUAAAUUAUGUUGCCUUAUUUUUAACAGUUAUUGGUUGCAUCAAUGACACCCAUAUUCCUAUAACAGCACCAAUUGGUGGGAAGAAAGGCUAUACUAACAAGAAAGGAUGGAAAUCUAUGGUUUUGCAACCUUAAGUUUUGUAACAUUGAUGUUGUUAUGUCGAGAAGUGUCCAUGAUGGAGCAGUUUUUAAAUAGUCCGGGUUGUUUAGCUAUUUAAACAGUUGGCCGAGGCGAGUAAAAGUUGUACCCCAAUUAAAAUAUAACCUAUCAUGAUAUAUAUUUUGUUAUUACGACACCUAUUUUGUUAAACGAAGUUGAAAUUCCCUUAUUAUUUUGGGUGACCCGGCAUACCCACUACUGCCAUCACAGCAGUAUUCGUAUUUGUGUGUAAAAUGCAUUUGGUGGCGUAUACUAAGUAAGAAAAUGUGGAACAAAAAAUACUGCCUUUUACCAAAAUGUUUUAGAUUUUUCUUUCAUCUAUUAUCCUCAGCCAUACUCACUUCCACAAUUACCUAACGACCCACAUUCUGCUGGUAGCCGUGUUAGACAAGCCAUUGUAGAUUUGCAAACCACUUAGCCUUUUUAACAGUCUAUGCGAUUUGUAAAAUAGUUAACUGUUACCUUCUUUUGGUUUGCAACCCAAGUGUUCUGUUCAUUAUUAUUACCUAUUUUGUAUUUUGAUACUAUUACAGCUAACAA